This 53-nucleotide transfer RNA is filed under the name Echinorhynchus truttae. Its description in RNAcentral is "transfer RNA-Leu". Lineage: Eukaryota; Metazoa; Acanthocephala; Palaeacanthocephala; Echinorhynchida; Echinorhynchidae. The record is from RNAcentral.
GCUAAUGUGGCAGAGUUAUGCGUCAAAUUUAAGCUUUGGAGACUUAUUUAGCU